AUACGGAAGGUCCGGGCGUUAUCCGGAUUUAUUGGGUUUAAAGGGAGCGCAGGCGGAGAUGCAAGCGUGACGUCAAAUUUCGGGGCUCAACCCCGUCUCGCGUCGCGAACUGCGUCCCUUGGUUGCGGGAAGGGGAGGCGGAACUCGUGGUGUAGCGGUGAAAUGCAUAGAUAUCACGAAGAACUCCGAUCGCGAAGGCAGCCUUCCGGCCCGUCAACGACGCUCAUGCUCGAAGGUGCGGGUAUCAAACAGGAUUAGAUACCCUGGUAGUCCGCACAGUAAACGAUGGACACCCGCGGUUUGGCCUGUAUGGCUGAGCCGCCAAGCGAAAGCGUUAAGUGUCCCACCUGGGGAGUACGCCGGCAACGGUGAAACUCAAAGGAAUUGACGG
RNAcentral lists this ribosomal RNA (391 nucleotides) under uncultured bacterium. Its description in RNAcentral is "partial 16S ribosomal RNA". It matches the Rfam family "Bacterial small subunit ribosomal RNA", at positions 523 to 916 of the family's 1533-position model. The record is from RNAcentral.